This is a long non-coding RNA of Pieris rapae (cabbage white), 442 nucleotides long. RefSeq lists it as uncharacterized. The record is from RefSeq and is a predicted model, not a curated record. The transcript has 3 exons. Lineage: Eukaryota; Metazoa; Arthropoda; Insecta; Lepidoptera; Pieridae.
CGCACAACGUCAGCGCAGGGGUUUUUGUGAGGGAGCAAAGCCUGGUGCUGCAAAAUGUAAUUCGUAACGAUUCCGGAGAGUAUAAUUGUGCAGCGCAGAACGAUGAAGGAAUGUCUACAAGCAACCCACUAAAUUUACAAGUUAGAUAUCCACCAGAGUGUAUCUCAUCGAAGAACAGUCAAGUAUUUGUAGUGCUGGAGAAGAAGACGGUAGAGUUAAUCUGUGAAGUUAACUCCAGUCCGCCACCUAAUCACUUUAUGUGGUCGUUUAAUAACUCCAAGGUGUACAUGGAUAUAGAUCCAAAAUACUACAAAUCAAGGGGAUGUACAUCAACUUUCCUGUACACACCAAGUUCAGAAGAGGAUUUUGGUGUCGUCUCGUGUUUAGCUUUAAACACCGCAGGCCUUCAAAAAGAUCCAUGCAAUUACCUACUGGUGGCGCC